UGAAGAACGUAGCAAAAUGCGAUACUUGGUGUGAAUUGCAGAAUCCCGUGAACCAUCGAGUUUUUGGACGCAAGUUGCGCCCGAAGCCAUCCGGCCGAGGGCACGUCUGCCUGGGCGUCACGCAUC
Molecule: ribosomal RNA, 126 nt
Filed under: Gundelia tournefortii
Lineage: Eukaryota; Viridiplantae; Streptophyta; Magnoliopsida; Asterales; Asteraceae
Description: 5.8S ribosomal RNA
Rfam family: 5.8S ribosomal RNA
About the family: 5.8S ribosomal RNA (5.8S rRNA) is a component of the large subunit of the eukaryotic ribosome. It is transcribed by RNA polymerase I as part of the 45S precursor that also contains 18S and 28S rRNA.
Source: RNAcentral